GAGAACCUGGGGACGCUAGGUUCCGGAACCUGACCUGAGCUGGGGCCUGUGCUUCCAGCGGGUGGUGGGGGGCCUGGUGUGCUGGCAUCAAGUAAGCCGACUACCUCGGCAAAGGCUUAGGGACAAGAGACCAGCAGCCUGAACUGGCUGGGGCAUCCGGAAGGCUUAGAUCUUGUGGCCAAGAGUUCAGACCGUGGCGAAGUGGAGAGUGACAUGCAGUUGGAUGGCGGUGACUGCGUGGUAUGGAAGAAAAUUCAGCUGAAAUUUGCUAGAAAAUGAGUUGUUUUGGAAAGAGACUGUAGAGAAAGGCAAAUGGAAGAAGAAAGCUUCUGUGCCCCCACAGAUACCGACUGAAAAGUGUUAGCAUGAGCAAAAGUUCCUAUCUAAUAUUAUAUGCUUUCCUUUGCUCCCAGGUCCUGCAACCCUGGUUCCAGUCUGGCAAGCAUUGUAGACCUGGCUGCUGAAGACUGACGGGGCCCAGGGUCCGCUGCCCCCACCGCCAUCACCACCUCGGAACCCAGGGUAACGCUGUCAGUCUUUGAGCCUACGAGGAAACCAUUCGGAAGCUCCAGAACCCAGGCCCUAAUCACAACGCCCCUAUCCAGCAGGAAGCAGCCAGAUGAUCAACGACGCCCUUUUUCCUUUUUAUACUAAAGUAAGAAAUAAGAAUGUUAGCCCAAACUGCACUAUUUUGCAGACCCCUACCAUUUUACAAACUGGUCAGAGUGGAAAAUUCCACCAGGGCCUGAGCUGUGAGAAACAUCCUGUCAGGCAGGUCCCAGGCCUAACCCCUGGCUGCACUAAAUUCCUUCAUUAUCAGCAGCCAAACACACCGCCCCCACCCCAUUUUCACAACAAUCCCAGACCUCUCCUGCCCGGGACUGUAACUGGUCCAGCCUGUAAGCGGGAAGGGGGCUCUGGCACUAGCUGGUACCCCCUCUCCGCAGGUCUUUCUCCCAAUAAAUCUGUGUUGCCAUUGA
RNAcentral lists this long non-coding RNA (980 nucleotides) under Homo sapiens (human). Its description in RNAcentral is "HSALNT0407698". Lineage: Eukaryota; Metazoa; Chordata; Mammalia; Primates; Hominidae. The record is from RNAcentral.